UAGGAACCAAUACUAAACGUGUUCUGAAUAUUUAAUUUGCGUUGAAAAGCUAAAUCAAACGAUUUCCGUACGGAACUAACUUAAUUAAAUUAGUUUCGCACAAAAUGUGUCGGACAUUUUGAAUCUUUCAUUAUGAUUAAAAAUUAGAAUUUCUUAUGAAUCUUAAAUUAUGUAAUAAAUGGUUUAGAAAAGAUAAAAGAAAUUUGUUUUUAGUAUUAUAUUGUGGCUAAUAAAGCAGCUAAAAAGUCCUUCCAGUCAGUUGCAACAACAAUUAAAGCAGCAGGAAACAACCAAGUACACAUGCAAGUGACAAUGAGGAUUGCAAAAGUUUUAAAUAUCAGAAACUGAAGAAGGAAUUGAUAAUUAGCAGAUAACAAAAAAGCGCAAAAGUACUGAUUAUACAACUCUUUUAAAGUUGAGGAAGAAUUUUAUGUGGAAUGUUAAUGCAGAAGGUACGAAUAUUGACAGUUAAACCAUCACCACCUCCACAGCCACCUUAUCUCAAGCAUUCAAUUGCAUUCUAAGUUAUCUUUAUUCAAAUCAAGUGUGGCUAUUAUACCAAAAGACUGUAGAAUGGACCAAUCAAAUUGUAGCUAACCCAUCAGUACUUGCAAAGUCUUCUUUUCUGUUAGCCCGAAAAUUGAGUUCUAAAAUACCAUUAUGCACAAAACUACUAUAUCAAAGCACAAACUAAUGGAUUGAUCAAUGAAACUGUCGGUAUCUCCACAACUUUUCAAUUAAAUAGAAAGUUUCAAUCAAACAGGAUACUGAGUGUGCCUACUGCUCCUUAA
Hydra vulgaris (swiftwater hydra) is the source of this 791-nucleotide long non-coding RNA. RefSeq lists it as uncharacterized. The record is from RefSeq and is a predicted model, not a curated record. NCBI's taxonomy places the organism in Eukaryota, Metazoa, Cnidaria, Hydrozoa, Anthoathecata, Hydridae.